Molecule: transfer RNA, 65 nt
Filed under: Perumytilus purpuratus
Lineage: Eukaryota; Metazoa; Mollusca; Bivalvia; Mytilida; Mytilidae
Description: tRNA-Asn
Rfam family: tRNA
About the family: Transfer RNA (tRNA) molecules are approximately 80 nucleotides in length. Their secondary structure includes four short double-helical elements and three loops (D, anti-codon, and T loops).
Source: RNAcentral
GAACUAAUAGUUAAAUUAAGAACUUCUGAUUGUUAAUUAGAGAGUGGAUGAAAUUCCUUAGUUUU